RNAcentral lists this ribosomal RNA (573 nucleotides) under uncultured bacterium. RNAcentral's name for it is "partial 16S ribosomal RNA". It matches the Rfam family "Bacterial small subunit ribosomal RNA", at positions 355 to 920 of the family's 1533-position model. The record is from RNAcentral.
UGGGGAAUUUUGGACAAUGGGCGAAAGCCUGACCCAGCAAUGCCGCGUGUGUGAAGAAGGCCUUCGGGUUGUAAAGCACUUUUGUCCGGAAAGAAAUCCUUGGCUCUAAUACAGUCGGGGGAUGACGGUACCGGAAGAAUAAGCACCGGCUAACUACGUGCCAGCAGCCGCGGUAAUACGUAGGGUGCAAGCGUUAAUCGGAAUUACUGGGCGUAAAGCGUGCGCAGGCGGUUUGCUAAGACCGAUGUGAAAUCCCCGGGCUCAACCUGGGAACUGCAUUGGUGACUGGCAGGCUAGAGUAUGGCAGAGGGGGGUAGAAUUCCACGUGUAGCAGUGAAAUGCGUAGAGAUGUGGAGGAAUACCGAUGGCGAAGGCAGCCCCCUGGGCCAAUACUGACGCUCAUGCACGAAAGCGUGGGGAGCAAACAGGAUUAGAUACCCUGGUAGUCCACGCCCUAAAACGAUGUCAACUAGUUGUUGGGGAUUCAUUUCCUUAGUAACGUAGCUAACGCGUGAAGUUGACCGCCCGGGGAGUACGGUCGCAAGAUUAAAACUUAAAUGAAUUGACGGGGUC